Long non-coding RNA from Stegodyphus dumicola, 451 nucleotides. The record is from RefSeq and is a predicted model, not a curated record. Lineage: Eukaryota; Metazoa; Arthropoda; Arachnida; Araneae; Eresidae.
AACAACUUUUGACUGUAUAUUAUUAGAAAAGACAUUUUGUCUUUAUAGGAUAAUGUUUGAAUCCUCUGAUCAAAUCUUCAUAGCUCUCCACUAGAUGGAUAGAAGGAAUUGUUGACAUGAAUUAAACAAAGGACUUUUCAUUUCAAAGAGCAGGGCCAGAUUGAAACACAGUUGACCUAGGUAGUUACCAGGAUACAUAAAGGUAUGUGAAGACAAAGUGGAGCAUUAUUUGGUCACUAGUAAAGUAUCGAAAACCAAUGAAUGUUUGUUUUGUAUGUGGGCAUUUGACUGCAUGCUAAGUUAUGCAAAUAACAGGAAAAAUAUAAAGCACUCAAAAACCUGGAAAUGAUCAUUAUGAUAUUUUUAGACAAAGUUGACAUAAGGAAUUCAUAAUUUCAAUUAUUGUUUAAUUCCUGUUAAAUAGUUAUUAAAUAAUAAUACAUCUGCAUGA